GUCGAGAACCUUUGCAAUGGCGAAAGCACGACAAGCUUAAUCCGAGUGUCUCCUGCUAAAGGAGUCUUUUGUCAGUUGUAGAAUCACUGGCGAAUAAGGGGUGGGCAAGUUCUGGUGUCAGCCGCCGCGGUAAAACCAGCACCUCGAGUGGUCAGGAGGUUUAUUGGGCCUAAAGCAUCCGUAGCCGGUUGCAUAAGUUUUCGGUUAAAUCUAUGCGCUCAACGUAUAGGCCGCCGAAAAUACUGUGCAGCUAGGGAGUGGGAGAGGUACACGGUACUCAGUAGGAAGGGGUAAAAUCCUUUGAUCUAUUGAUGACCACCUGUGGCGAAGGCGGUGUACCAGAACACGUUCGACGGUGAGGGAUGAAAGCUGGGGGAGCAAACCGGAUUAGAUACCCGGGUAGUCCCAGCUGUAAACGAUGCAGACUCGGUGAUGCAUUGGCUUGUGGCCAAUGCAGUGCCGCAGGGAAGCCGUUAAGUCUGCCGCCUGGGAAGUACGUACGCAAGUAUGAACUAAAGGAUUGGCGGGGGAGCACCACAAGAGGUGAAGCGUGCGG
This 556-nucleotide ribosomal RNA is filed under the name uncultured archaeon. Its description in RNAcentral is "bacterial SSU rRNA". It matches the Rfam family "Archaeal small subunit ribosomal RNA", at positions 338 to 900 of the family's 1478-position model. The record is from RNAcentral.